AGUAGACAACCUCUCCCACUAAUUGUGUAUUAGCAACGUAUUUUAUCUUGAGAGCUUGUACACUGGGCUCUCAACGUGGUGUGGAAGGUAGCCUGUUACAGUGCUGGAUUCAUAAAAGGGCCUUUAUGGUUUGUGAAAGAAUAUCUGUGUGCUUAGGGAGGAAACUUUUUGAUCUGCAGAAAAGCCAGAAGACAUCUAGGACAUCCAUAAAAAUUCAUCAGAGAGCAUUUUACUACUGAGCUGCAAAGGGAAAAACUUAAAAUGGAUAUGAAAAGUGAAGAAAGUGAUCAUAGGAGAAAACCAUUUCAGGUGUCUGAUGAUUUGUGAGCCUCAAGUGACUACUCUGUGGAAUCAUCUGUCCUUGCCUUUGAAUUAGCUUUCCCUAGGCCAUGAGUCAACAUUAGUAGUUUAUACAUCCAAAUUGAUGACAAGAGCACCUCAAAGGCAGCAGCCUCAAGGAGCAGCCAUGGCCCCAGACUUGUCGCACGGAUGCAGAAAACUUAAUGGAGGAGGCUGAGGAACUCUUCCAGACUCUGGGAAAUAUGUCUCCAAGAAAGCAGACAAUACCCCUGCCCUCUGUGGAAGACUGACAAAUAUACAAGUGCAUAUGUAUAUAUAGACUGUCAGAUGAUGUAAGUAUGAUGAAGAAAAUGAAAGCCAUGUAAUGGGUGAUGGAGCGGGGCAUAGAAAGGUGCCAUUUGCUAUUUUAUAGAAGUAGAUCAGGGAAGACCAUGUCAUGGUAGAUAUCUGAGCAGAGACCAUUCCAGGUGUGGGAGCAUGUCAGAGAGGUAUCCAGGGGCAACAGUUCCAGGCAGAGAAAGCAUGAAGAGCAAGGUGCCCAAGGCCAGAGCAUGUGUGCUUGGCAUUUUCCAGGAGCAGCAAGGAAUUUAGUGUGGCUGAAGGAGAAUGAGCAAGGGAGAAAGCAGCAGGAGAGUGCACAUGAAGCCCUGUGUGCCAUUACGAAGACUCUGCUUUUUUUUUUUUUUUGAGUCGGAGUCUUGCUCUUCCGCCCAGGCCGGAGUGCAGUGGCGCGAUCUCGGCUCACUGCAAGCUCCGCCUCCCGGGUUCACGCCAUUCUCCUGCCUCAGCCUCCCGAGUAGCUGGGACUACAGGCGCCUGCCACCUCGCCUGGCUAAUUUUUUGCAUUUUUUUUAGUAGAGACGGGGUUUCACAGUGUUAGCCAGGAUGGUCUCGAUCUCCUGACCUCGUGAUCCGCCUGCCUCGGCCUCCCAAAGUGCUCACCCUCCCUACCUUUAGCGUCUGCCUCACCUCUUGUCUCUGUGUUCCUCUAUACCUGUGCUGUCUUGUAUGGUCACCACUAGCCACAUGUGUCUACUGAGAACUUGGAAUGGGGCUAGCCCAAAUGGACAAUAUGAGAAAAAUGUAAAAUAUCUCAAUACUUUUCGUAUUGUUUCAUACGUUGAAAUACAAAUAGUUUGAAUAUAUUUGAUUAAGAAAAA
Molecule: long non-coding RNA, 1460 nt
Filed under: Homo sapiens (human)
Lineage: Eukaryota; Metazoa; Chordata; Mammalia; Primates; Hominidae
Description: mir-99a-let-7c cluster host gene
Source: RNAcentral